This 494-nucleotide ribosomal RNA is filed under the name uncultured bacterium. Its description in RNAcentral is "partial 16S ribosomal RNA". It matches the Rfam family "Bacterial small subunit ribosomal RNA", at positions 28 to 506 of the family's 1533-position model. The record is from RNAcentral.
GACGAACGCUGGCGGCGUGCCUAAUACAUGCAAGUAGAACGCUGAAGGAGGAGCUUGCUCUUCUGGAUGAGUUGCGAACGGGUGAGUAACGCGUAGGUAACCUGCCUGGUAGCGGGGGAUAACUAUUGGAAACGAUAGCUAAUACCGCAUAAGAGUAGAUGUUGCAUGACAUUUACUUAAAAGGUGCAAUUGCAUCACUACCAGAUGGACCUGCGUUGUAUUAGCUAGUUGGUGGGGUAACGGCUUACCAAGGCGACGAUACAUAGCCGACCUGAGAGGGGGAUCGGCCACACUGGGACUGAGACACGGCCCAGACUCCUACGGGAGGCAGCAGUAGGGAAUCUUCGGCAAUGGACGGAAGUCUGACCGAGCAACGCCGCGUGAGUGAAGAAGGUUUUCGGAUCGUAAAGCUCUGUUGUAAGAGAAGAACGAGUGUGAGAGUGGAAAGUUCACACUGUGACGGUAUCUUACCAGAAAGGGACGGCUAACUACGG